GCCCAUAUAGCUCAGUCGGUAGAGCGCGUCCUUGGUAAGGACGAGGUCACCGGUUCAAAUCCGGUUAUGGGCU
This 73-nucleotide transfer RNA is filed under the name Thioploca ingrica. It matches the Rfam family "tRNA". From Rfam's summary of the family: Transfer RNA (tRNA) molecules are approximately 80 nucleotides in length. The record is from Rfam by way of RNAcentral. Lineage: Bacteria; Pseudomonadati; Pseudomonadota; Gammaproteobacteria; Thiotrichales; Thiotrichaceae.